AUUUAAAUAGUUUAAUAAAAAUAUUGAUUUGUGGAAUCAAAGUUAUCAAAAGAUUUUAAAUU
This 62-nucleotide transfer RNA is filed under the name Teredus cylindricus. RNAcentral describes it as "tRNA-His". Lineage: Eukaryota; Metazoa; Arthropoda; Insecta; Coleoptera; Bothrideridae. The record is from RNAcentral.